Molecule: ribosomal RNA, 421 nt
Filed under: uncultured bacterium
Lineage: Bacteria
Description: bacterial SSU rRNA
Rfam family: Bacterial small subunit ribosomal RNA
Source: RNAcentral
GACGAACGCUGGCGGCGUGCUUAACACAUGCAAGUCGAACGAAAAGAGGGGAAGAGCUUGCUCUUUUCAGAAUUGAGUGGCAAACGGGUGAGUAACACGUAAACAACCUGCCUUCAGGAUGGGGACAACAGACGGAAACGACUGCUAAUACCGAAUAAGUUCCAAGAGCCGCAUGGCCCAUGGAAGAAAAGGUGGCCUCUACCUGUAAGCUAUCGCUUGAAGAGGGGUUUGCGUCUGAUUAGCUGGUUGGAGGGGUAACGGCCCACCAAGGCGACGAUCAGUAGCCGGUCUGAGAGGAUGAACGGCCACACUGGAACUGAGAUACGGCCAGACUCCUACGGGAGGCAGCAGUCGGGAAUAUUGCGCAAUGGAGGAAACUCUGACGCAGUGACGCCGCGUAUAGGAAGAAGGUUUUCGGAUU